GCCCUCCACUAAUCAAUAUGGCACUGUUUGGUGCGCAUUCCGAAUGUGAUUGGGCCUUGUGGGCCUUGCCUACAAUUUACCCACUUGUAGCAGUCAAAAUCACUGCUCAGAACUUGCCCACUCCUAUCCUACAACAGCUCUGGCCACUGAUGCCCAUUUCUCUCCACAUGAUUCCUUCUUUCCUUUUGUUUCAGGGAAAAAAAAAGAGCCUUUUGCAAACAAAUUUCCGCGUUUCCUAUGUCGGCCUUUCUAGAAUUCUCUUGGAUGCACAUGUGAUUCGACCGUUUUCCAUCACAAUUUGGCUUUCUAACUGAGAAACGAAUCCAUCAGAUCAAUUUGCAUUCGGAGUAUUGUGCAUGAUUUGGUUAGCUUAAUUGACUUUCCGGUUGACUAGGAUGAUGCAUUCGACCCCCCGAAUCCAUCGCUGUCUCCCACUUAACCCAUUUAUAUAUAAUCAGCAGAUAGCAUAUCUCAUCCCAUCACCACCGACGGCCCCUCCUCUUGCUGUUGCACAACCCAAUAAAGUCCUGUCGAUGCCAACGCAUGCCGCAUUAGAGAGCUAACAGCACUGAAUUAGGCCUCUCUAAACAUGGAGAAAAGCAAGUCGUUUAACGGUUACUCAGCAUCUUACUCAGAAAUAAGGCUCGGGUUCGAGGAGAGGUCCAAAUCGUAUAGCUUCAAUGGCCCGAGCAACGCGCCCGAUGGGUUGGAUAUUUCCGGGAACCCGGAGCUUAAGAGGAGGAGGAGGGUGGCCAGCUACAACAUGUACACGAUGGAGGGCAAGCUCAAGUCCUCGCUGCGCAACAGUUUCAAGUGGAUCAAGAGCAAGUUCUCCGAUGAUUUCUCCAGCAUGUAGAAUGCAGCAGAUUCUACCGUUAUUCCUUCUUCCUGCUGCACGGUGGAGUUCGGUAAGAAACUGUUAUAAAGAAUCAGAAGCUGGAGAAUAGCUGAGACAGACUAAACCGAGAAUGCGAUUUCCUGGCUCACGACUUGUGUAUCUAGUGAAAAUGUCCAUCACUUUGAAUCUUCUCUUUUUGCUCAGUAAGUGUAAUGGGGUUGAGAUAUUUCGAGUUGAGUGAAGAUGGGAUGUGAUUUGCAGCGUUGAAUUCCAAGUUCUAGUUACCGCAAAAUGAAUACGAAAGAUAUGAAUGAGUAAAUAUCCGUGCAA
Long non-coding RNA from Eucalyptus grandis, 1168 nucleotides. RefSeq lists it as uncharacterized. The record is from RefSeq and is a predicted model, not a curated record. The transcript is spliced from 2 exons. NCBI's taxonomy places the organism in Eukaryota, Viridiplantae, Streptophyta, Magnoliopsida, Myrtales, Myrtaceae.